CUCGUAGGCGGUUCGUCGCGUCCGGUGUGAAAGUCCAUCGCCUAACGGUGGAUCUGCGCCGGGUACGGGCGGGCUGGAGUGCGGUAGGGGAGACUGGAAUUCCCGGUGUAACGGUGGAAUGUGUAGAUAUCGGGAAGAACACCAAUGGCGAAGGCAGGUCUCUAGGCCGUUACUGACGCUGAGGAGCGAAAGCGUGGGGAGCGAACA
This 207-nucleotide ribosomal RNA is filed under the name uncultured bacterium. RNAcentral's name for it is "partial 16S ribosomal RNA". It matches the Rfam family "Bacterial small subunit ribosomal RNA", at positions 568 to 774 of the family's 1533-position model. The record is from RNAcentral.